RNAcentral lists this ribosomal RNA (497 nucleotides) under uncultured bacterium. RNAcentral's name for it is "partial 16S ribosomal RNA". It matches the Rfam family "Bacterial small subunit ribosomal RNA", at positions 28 to 507 of the family's 1533-position model. The record is from RNAcentral.
GAUGAACGCUGGCGGCGUGCCUAAUGCAUGCAAGUCGAGCGAACAGAUAAGGAGCUUGCUCCUUUGACGUUAGCGGCGGACGGGUGAGUAACAAGUGGGUAACCUACCUAUAAGACUGGGAUAACUUCGGGAAAACGGAGCUAAUACCGGAUAAUAUUUCGAACCGCAUGGUUCGAUAGUGCAAGAUGGUUUUGCUAUCACUUAUAGAUGGACCCGUGCCGUAUUAGCUAGUUGGUAAGGUAACGGCUUACCAAGGCGACGAUACGUAGCCGACCUGAGAGGGUGAUCGGCCACACUGGAACUGAGACACGGUCCAGACUCCUACGGGAGGCAGCAGUAGGGAAUCUUCCGCAAUGGGCGAAAGCCUGACGGAGCAACGCCGCGUGAGUGAUGAAGGUCUUCGGAUCGUAAAACUCUUUUAUUAGGGAAGAACAUACGUGUAAGUAACUGUGCACGUCUUGACGGUACCUAAUCAGAAAGCCACGGCUAACUACGUG